GACGAACGCUGGCGGCGUGCUUAACACAUGCAAGUCGAACGGAAAGGCCCUGCUUUUGUGGGGUGCUCGAGUGGCGAACGGGUGAGUAACACGUGAGUAACCUGCCCUUGUCUUUGGGAUAACUUCAGGAAACAGGGGCUCAUACCGGAUAGGAGCUCCUGCUGCAUGUUGGGGGUUGGAAAGUUUCGGCGGUUGUGGAUGGACUCGCGGCUUAUCAGCUUGUUGGUGGGGUAGUGGCUUACCAAGCCUUUGACGGGUAGCCGGCCUGAGAGGGUGACCGGCGACAUGAGGACUGAGAUAGGGACCAGACGCCUACGGGAGGCAGCAGUGGAGAAUAUUGCGCAAUGGGCGGAAGCCUGAUGCAGCAACGCCGCGUGCGGGAUGACGGCCUUCGGGUUAUAAACCGCUUUCGCCUGUGACGAAGCGUGAGUGACGGUAAUGGGUAAAGAAGCACCGGCUAACUACGUG
This 468-nucleotide ribosomal RNA is filed under the name uncultured bacterium. RNAcentral describes it as "partial 16S ribosomal RNA". It matches the Rfam family "Bacterial small subunit ribosomal RNA", at positions 28 to 507 of the family's 1533-position model. The record is from RNAcentral.